Non-coding RNA from Salmo salar (Atlantic salmon), 54 nucleotides. Lineage: Eukaryota; Metazoa; Chordata; Actinopteri; Salmoniformes; Salmonidae. The record is from Rfam.
GACUGCACUAACUGUAAGUCCCUCUGGAUAAGAGUGUCUGCUAAAUGACUAUAA